This 81-nucleotide transfer RNA is filed under the name Curtobacterium sp. MCLR17_007. Its description in RNAcentral is "tRNA-Leu". It matches the Rfam family "tRNA". From Rfam's summary of the family: Transfer RNA (tRNA) molecules are approximately 80 nucleotides in length. The record is from RNAcentral. Lineage: Bacteria; Bacillati; Actinomycetota; Actinomycetes; Micrococcales; Microbacteriaceae.
GCGGGAGUGGUGGAACGGUAGACACGCAGGAUUUAGGUUCCUGUGCCGCAAGGCGUGAGGGUUCGAGUCCCUCCUUCCGCA